RNAcentral lists this ribosomal RNA (253 nucleotides) under uncultured bacterium. RNAcentral describes it as "partial 16S ribosomal RNA". It matches the Rfam family "Bacterial small subunit ribosomal RNA", at positions 524 to 776 of the family's 1533-position model. The record is from RNAcentral.
UACGUAGGGUGCAAGCGUUGUCCGGAAUUAUUGGGCGUAAAGAGCUCGUAGGCGGUCUGUCGCGUCGGCUGUGAAAACCCGCGGCUCAACCUCGAGCCUGCAGUCGAUACGGGCAGACUAGAGUGCGGUAGGGGAGACUGGAAUUCCUGGUGUAGCGGUGAAAUGCGCAGAUAUCAGGAAGAACACCUAUGGCGAAGGCAGCACUCUGGGACGGUACUGACGCUGAGACGCGAAAGCGUGGGGAGCGAACAGG